GACGAACGCUGGCGGCGUGCUUAACACAUGCAAGUCGAACGAUGAAGCUAGGGUUUGCUCUGGUGAAUUAGUGGCGAACGGGUGAGUAACACGUGAGUAACCUGCCCCGAACUCUGGGAUAACUGCUGGAAACGGUAGCUAAUACUGGAUACGACCUACGAAGGCAUCUUCUGUAGGUGGAAAGAAUUUCGGUUCGGGAUGGACUCGCGGCCUAUCAGCUGGUUGGUGAGGUAAUGGCUCACCAAGGCGACGACGGGUAGCCGGCCUGAGAGGGUGACCGGCCACACUGGGACUGGGACACGGCCCAGACUCCUACGGGAGGCAGCAGUGGGGAAUAUUGCACAAUGGGCGCAAGCCUGAUGCAGCAACGCCGCGUGAGGGAUGACGGCCUUCGGGUUGUAAACCUCUUUUAGUAGGGAAGAAGCGAAAGUGACGGUACCUGCAGAAAAAGCACCGGCUAACUACGUGCCAGCCGCCGCGGUAA
This 484-nucleotide ribosomal RNA is filed under the name uncultured bacterium. RNAcentral's name for it is "partial 16S ribosomal RNA". It matches the Rfam family "Bacterial small subunit ribosomal RNA", at positions 28 to 523 of the family's 1533-position model. The record is from RNAcentral.